GACGGAGGAGGCAAGCGUUAUCCGGAAUUAUUGGGCGUAAAGCGUCCGCAGGCGGCUUUUUAAGUCUGUUGUCAAAGCCCACAGCUCAACUGUGGAUCGGCAAUGGAAACUGGGAAGCUAGAGUGUGGUAGGGGUAGAGGGAAUUCCCGGUGUAGCGGUGAAAUGCGUAGAUAUCGGGAAGAACACCAGUGGCGAAGGCGCUCUACUGGGCCACAACUGACACUGAGGGACGAAAGCUAGGGGAGCGAAUGGG
RNAcentral lists this ribosomal RNA (253 nucleotides) under uncultured bacterium. Its description in RNAcentral is "partial 16S ribosomal RNA". It matches the Rfam family "Bacterial small subunit ribosomal RNA", at positions 524 to 776 of the family's 1533-position model. The record is from RNAcentral.